This 21-nucleotide microRNA is filed under the name Corchorus capsularis. RNAcentral's name for it is "sRNA CCACVL1_15540". Lineage: Eukaryota; Viridiplantae; Streptophyta; Magnoliopsida; Malvales; Malvaceae. The record is from RNAcentral.
CAUGAUUGAGUGCAGCGCUGG